RNAcentral lists this unclassified non-coding RNA (324 nucleotides) under plant metagenome. RNAcentral's name for it is "partial contains 5.8S ribosomal RNA, internal transcribed spacer 2, and large subunit ribosomal RNA". The stretch from base 1 to 105 matches the Rfam family "5.8S ribosomal RNA", at positions 50 to 154 of the family's 154-position model. The record is from RNAcentral.
GAAAUGCGAUAACUAAUGUGAAUUGCAGAAUUCAGUGAAUCAUCGAGUCUUUGAACGCACAUUGCGCCCCCUGGUAUUCCGGGGGACAUGCCUGUCCGAGCGUCAUUGCUGCCCUCAAGCCCGGCUUGUGUGUUGGGCCCUCGUCCCCCGGCUCCCGGGGGACGGGCCCGAAAGGCAGCGGCGGCACCGCGUCCGGUCCUCGAGCGUAUGGGGCUUCGUCUUCCGCUCCGUAGGCCCGGCCGGCGCCCGCCGACGCAUUUAUUUGCAACUUGUUUUUUUCCAGGUUGACCUCGGAUCAGGUAGGGAUACCCGCUGAACUUAAGC